AUUGAACGCUGGCGGCAUGCCUUACACAUGCAAGUCGAACGGCAGCACGGGUGCUUGCACCUCGUGGCGAGUGGCGAACGGGUGAGUAAUACAUCGGAACAUGUCCUGUAGUGGGGGAUAGCCCGGCGAAAGCCGGAUUAAUACCGCAUACGAUCUACGGAUGAAAGCGGGGGACCUUCGGGCCUCGCGCUAUAGGGUUGGCCGAUGGCUGAUUAGCUAGUUGGUGGGGUAAAGGCCUACCAAGGCGACGAUCAGUAGCUGGUCUGAGAGGACGACCAGCCACACUGGGACUGAGACACGGCCCAGACUCCUACGGGAGGCAGCAGUGGGGAAUUUUGGACAAUGGGCGAAAGCCUGAUCCAGCAAUGCCGCGUGUGUGAAGAAGGCCUUCGGGUUGUAAAGCACUUUUGUCCGGAAAGAAAUCCUUGGCCCUAAUACGGUCGGGGGAUGACGGUACCGGAAGAAUAAGCACCGGCUAACUACGUG
Molecule: ribosomal RNA, 486 nt
Filed under: uncultured bacterium
Lineage: Bacteria
Description: partial 16S ribosomal RNA
Rfam family: Bacterial small subunit ribosomal RNA
Source: RNAcentral